GACGAACGCUGGCGGCGUGCUUAACACAUGCAAGUCGAGCGAUGAAGCACCUUCGGGUGUGAAUUAGCGGCGAACGGGUGAGGAACACGUGAGAAAUCUGCCUUCAACUCUGGGAUAACUCCGUGAAAACGGGGCUAAUACCGGAUAUGAAACCUGCGGGCAUCCGCGGGUUUGGAAAGUUUUUCGGUUGAAGAUGAUCUCGCGGCCUAUCAGCUUGUUGGUGAGGUAAUGGCUCACCAAGGCGACGACGGGUAGCCGGCCUGAGAGGGCGACCGGCCACACUGGGACUGAGACACGGCCCAGACUCCUACGGGAGGCAGCAGUGGGGAAUAUUGGGCAAUGGAGGAAACUCUGACCCAGCGACGCCGCGUGCGGGGAUGAAGGCCUUCGGUUGUAAACCGCUUUCAGCAGGGAAGAAGCGAAAGUGACGGUACCUGCAGAAAAAGCACCGGCUAACUACGUG
RNAcentral lists this ribosomal RNA (463 nucleotides) under uncultured bacterium. RNAcentral's name for it is "bacterial SSU rRNA". It matches the Rfam family "Bacterial small subunit ribosomal RNA", at positions 28 to 507 of the family's 1533-position model. The record is from RNAcentral.